UGCUACUCUGCUGACGAGCGGCGGACGGGUGAGUAAUGCUUGGGAAUAUGCCUUAUGGUGGGGGACAACAGUUGGAAACGACUGCUAAUACCGCAUGAUGUCUACGGACCAAAGUGGGGGACCUUCGGGCCUCACGCCAUAAGAUUAGCCCAAGUGGGAUUAGCUAGUUGGUGAGGUAAUGGCUCACCAAGGCGACGAUCCCUAGCUGGUUUGAGAGGAUGAUCAGCCACACUGGGACUGAGACACGGCCCAGACUCCUACGGGAGGCAGCAGUGGGGAAUAUUGCACAAUGGGCGCAAGCCUGAUGCAGCCAUGCCGCGUGUGUGAAGAAGGCCUUCGGGUUGUAAAGCACUUUCAGUAAGGAGGAAAGGUUAAGUGUUAAUAGCACUUAGCUGUGACGUUACUUACAGAAGAAGCACCGGCUAACUCCGUGCCAGCAGCCGCGGUAAUACGGAGGGUGCGAGCGUUAAUCGGAAUUACUGGGCGUAAAGCGUACGCAGGCGGUUUGUUAAGCGAGAUGUGAAAGCCCCGGGCUCAACCUGGGAACUGCAUUUCGAACUGGCAAACUAGAGUGUGAUAGAGGGUGGUAGAAUUUCAGGU
This 600-nucleotide ribosomal RNA is filed under the name Pseudoalteromonas shioyasakiensis. RNAcentral describes it as "bacterial SSU rRNA". It matches the Rfam family "Bacterial small subunit ribosomal RNA", at positions 78 to 674 of the family's 1533-position model. The record is from RNAcentral. Lineage: Bacteria; Pseudomonadati; Pseudomonadota; Gammaproteobacteria; Alteromonadales; Pseudoalteromonadaceae.